RNAcentral lists this ribosomal RNA (418 nucleotides) under uncultured Methanothermobacter sp. Its description in RNAcentral is "bacterial SSU rRNA". It matches the Rfam family "Archaeal small subunit ribosomal RNA", at positions 330 to 747 of the family's 1478-position model. The record is from RNAcentral. Lineage: Archaea; Methanobacteriati; Methanobacteriota; Methanobacteria; Methanobacteriales; Methanobacteriaceae.
GUGCACCAGUCGCGAAACCUCCGCAAUGCACGCAAGUGCGACGGGGGAACCCCAAGUGCCACUCUUAACGGGGUGGCUUUUCAGAAGUGUAAAAAGCUUCUGGAAUAAGGGCUGGGCAAGACCGGUGCCAGCCGCCGCGGUAACACCGGCAGCUCAAGUGGUAGCCGCUUUUAUUGGGCCUAAAGCGUCCGUAGCCGGUCUGAUAAGUCUCUGGUGAAAUCCCACAGCUUAACUGUGGGAAUUGCUGGAGAUACUAUCAUGACUCGAGGUCGGGAGAGGCUGGAGGUACUCCCAGGGUAGGGGUGAAAUCCUGUAAUCCUGGGAGGACCACCUGUGGCGAAGGCGUCCAGCUGGAACGAACCUGACGGUGAGGGACGAAAGCCAGGGGCGCGAACCGGAUUAGAUACCCCCGUAGUCC